CAGCAGCCGCGGUAAUACGAAGGGGGCUAGCGUUGCUCGGAAUGACUGGGCGUAAAGGGCGCGUAGGCGGAUUGUUUAGUUAGGCGUGAAAUUCCUGGGCUUAACCUGGGGACUGCGCUUAAUACAGGCAGUCUAGAGUGAGGAAGAGGGUUGUGGAAUUCCCAGUGUAGAGGUGAAAUUCGUAGAUAUUGGGAAGAACACCGGUGGCGAAGGCGGCAACCUGGUCCUUGACUGACGCUGAGGCGCGAAAGCGUGGGGAGCAAACAGGAUUAGAUACCCCCGUAGUCCCUGUCUCUUAACA
RNAcentral lists this ribosomal RNA (301 nucleotides) under uncultured bacterium. Its description in RNAcentral is "partial 16S ribosomal RNA". It matches the Rfam family "Bacterial small subunit ribosomal RNA", at positions 509 to 808 of the family's 1533-position model. The record is from RNAcentral.